AAUGGGCGCAGCCUGAUGCAGCACGCCGCGUGAGGGAUGAAGGCCUUCGGGUUGUAAACCUCUUUUACAGGGAAGAAGCGAAAGUGACGGUCCUGCGAAAAAGCACCGGCUAACUACGUGCCAGCAGCCGCGGUAAUACGUAGGGUGCAAGCG
RNAcentral lists this ribosomal RNA (153 nucleotides) under uncultured bacterium. RNAcentral describes it as "partial 16S ribosomal RNA". It matches the Rfam family "Bacterial small subunit ribosomal RNA", at positions 370 to 540 of the family's 1533-position model. The record is from RNAcentral.